RNAcentral lists this ribosomal RNA (998 nucleotides) under Paracorniculantispora psalliotae. RNAcentral's name for it is "SSU rRNA". It matches the Rfam family "Eukaryotic small subunit ribosomal RNA", at positions 84 to 1093 of the family's 1831-position model. Lineage: Eukaryota; Fungi; Ascomycota; Sordariomycetes; Hypocreales; Cordycipitaceae. The record is from RNAcentral.
AAACUGCGAAUGGCUCAUUAUAUAAGUUAUCGUUUAUUUGAUAGUACCUUACUACUUGGAUAACCGUGGUAAUUCUAGAGCUAAUACAUGCUAAAAAUCCCGACUUCGGAAGGGAUGUAUUUAUUAGAUUAAAAACCAAUGCCCUCUGGGCUCCUUGGUGAUUCAUAAUAACUUUUCGAAUCGCAUGGCCUUGCGCCGGCGAUGGUUCAUUCAAAUUUCUUCCCUAUCAACUUUCGAUGUUUGGGUAUUGGCCAAACAUGGUCGCAACGGGUAACGGAGGGUUAGGGCUCGACCCCGGAGAAGGAGCCUGAGAAACGGCUACUACAUCCAAGGAAGGCAGCAGGCGCGCAAAUUACCCAAUCCCGAUUCGGGGAGGUAGUGACAAUAAAUACUGAUACAGGGCUCUUUUGGGUCUUGUAAUUGGAAUGAGUACAAUUUAAAUCCCUUAACGAGGAACAAUUGGAGGGCAAGUCUGGUGCCAGCAGCCGCGGUAAUUCCAGCUCCAAUAGCGUAUAUUAAAGUUGUUGUGGUUAAAAAGCUCGUAGUUGAACCUUGGGCCUGGCUGGCCGGUCCGCCUCACCGCGUGCACUGUGCCGGCCGGGCCUUUCCCUCUGUGGAACCUCAUGCCCUUCACUGGGUGUGGCGGGGAAACAGGACUUUUACUUUGAAAAAAUUAGAGUGCUCCAGGCAGGCCUAUGCUCGAAUACAUUAGCAUGGAAUAAUAAAAUAGGACGCGUGGUUCUAUUUUGUUGGUUUCUAGGACCGCCGUAAUGAUUAAUAGGGACAGUCGGGGGCAUCAGUAUUCAAUUGUCAGAGGUGAAAUUCUUGGAUUUAUUGAAGACUAACUACUGCGAAAGCAUUUGCCAAGGAUGUUUUCAUUAAUCAGGAACGAAAGUUAGGGGAUCGAAGACGAUCAGAUACCGUCGUAGUCUUAACCAUAAACUAUGCCGACUAGGGAUCGGACGAUGUUAUUUUUUGACGCGUUCGGCACCUUACGA